UCGGAUAUGGUGUAACGGCCAACAUUGCCGCCUCUCAUUGACAAGCGCGGCAGCUCGGGGUUCGAUUCCCCGUAUCCGAA
Molecule: transfer RNA, 80 nt
Filed under: Schizophyllum commune Loenen D
Lineage: Eukaryota; Fungi; Basidiomycota; Agaricomycetes; Agaricales; Schizophyllaceae
Description: tRNA-Glu
Rfam family: tRNA
About the family: Transfer RNA (tRNA) molecules are approximately 80 nucleotides in length. Their secondary structure includes four short double-helical elements and three loops (D, anti-codon, and T loops). Further hydrogen bonds mediate the characteristic L-shaped molecular structure. tRNAs have two regions of fundamental functional importance: the anti-codon, which is responsible for specific mRNA codon recognition, and the 3' end, to which the tRNAs corresponding amino acid is attached (by aminoacyl-tRNA synthetases). tRNAs cope with the degeneracy of the genetic code in two manners: having more than one tRNA (with a specific anti-codon) for a particular amino acid; and 'wobble' base-pairing, i.e. permitting non-standard base-pairing at the 3rd anti-codon position.
Source: RNAcentral